This 64-nucleotide transfer RNA is filed under the name Coleoptera sp. ACP-2013. RNAcentral's name for it is "tRNA-Trp". The record is from RNAcentral. Lineage: Eukaryota; Metazoa; Arthropoda; Insecta; Coleoptera.
GAAGGAUUUAAGUUAAUUUAAACUUUUAGUCUUCAAAACUAACAAUAGACUAUAUCUAAACCUU